This 369-nucleotide ribosomal RNA is filed under the name uncultured bacterium. Its description in RNAcentral is "bacterial SSU rRNA". It matches the Rfam family "Bacterial small subunit ribosomal RNA", at positions 29 to 424 of the family's 1533-position model. The record is from RNAcentral.
AAUGAACGUUGGCGGCGUGGAUUAGGCAUGCAAGUCGGGGGAAUCCCGCAAGGGGGAACCGGCGUAAGGGGCAGUAAGGCAUGGGUACCUACCUUUGGGUUCGGGAUAGCCAUCAGAGAUGGUGGGUAAUACCGGAUGACGUCGUGAGACCAAAGAUUUAUCGCCCAUUGAGGGGCCCAUGUGAUAUUAGCUUGUUGGUGAGGUAACGGCUCACCAAGGCGAAGAUGUCUAGCGGGUGUGAGAGCACGACCCGCGCCACUCGCACUGAGACACUGGCGAGACACCUACGGGUGGCUGCAGUCGAGGAUCUUCGGCAAUGGGCGCAAGCCUGACCGAGCGACGCCGCGUGUGCGAUGAAGGCCUUGGGUU